UCGCCGAAGUAUUCGCCAUUGCCCAGCAGAGCGAUGCGAAGCUCUUCGCCGUGAGUGCCCGUGCUGAUUACCUCGGCCUGCCCACCGGCUACAAUGAAGAAACGCUGCUUGUCUUUCCCCUGGGUGACAAGAUUCUCCCCCCGCGCCACCUCCACAGGCGCAAAGUUACGAGCCAGGCGAGCCACAAUCUCCUGGUCAAUGUUCUGGAAAAGAGGAAUGGCCCUAAGGUUUUGGGCUGUGAAGCUGGGCACACCGUCAAAGUACUGAAUCUCGAUGCGUUCGGCUUUCUUCAGUUCCACUUUGGUGCGGUUCACUCGGUAGGUGCCGCUCUCCACCUGGGUCCAAGGAAGCAUUUUCAGCAGGAGCCUCGGUGUGAUACUACCCAUCUGAGGGGGUGUUUUGGUCGUGUUCGCAAGUUUGCGAGCUGUUGCAGU
Molecule: non-coding RNA, 434 nt
Filed under: bovine gut metagenome
Source: RNAcentral